This 990-nucleotide long non-coding RNA is filed under the name Astyanax mexicanus (Mexican tetra). Its description in RNAcentral is "lncRNA (ENSAMXG00005001188.1)". Lineage: Eukaryota; Metazoa; Chordata; Actinopteri; Characiformes; Acestrorhamphidae. The record is from RNAcentral.
UUCCGGUUAAGAGCAUGCUGUGCGCGAUUGGUUGUUGCUUCUCACCGGUGUGUGUUGUAAGUGACUGUGUUUAGAAUUUUGUCAUUAUAACACUAUAUGUGUAAAGUGUAUCUUUAUGUUGAUUUUAGCUUUGUUUGAAGUUAAACAGCAGGGUAUUAGAAUCAGGGAUGAAGAUGUUUAACAGUAGAAGCUAAAUUGAAGCUCUGGGUAAGACUGAACAUCUGAGCUUCAUUAGAAUUAGCUGCUAACCACUGCGCUAAGCGCUAGCUCUUUCACUGUUCAGAGUGUCCUAUGUGUACCAGGAAUACACAAUACAAGGCUAAUAUGCUAAUAUGGCUAAUAUGAUGGUGAUCAGUGGCUUCUGGCUGAAGUUACAUCCACAUUCAAUGGAAGAGACCCCGCCCACAUAUCCCACAGAUGUGAGGAGCUCAGAACAGCAGUUGCUGGUUUAGAAAGGAAAGCUGAGUGGAGAAGAGGAACCCGGAACUCAGACCUCGCUAAUGGAAAACCAAUGUGCUCCCAGUAACCCCAGUCCACUGAACCGCCUCCGGACCCUGAACCUCCAGCCCAGAACCAGCAGAUGAUCCGGUGAAGCUUCAGUCCGGGGGACAAGAAUCAGCCAUGAGAUCAUUUCACAGCACAACAUCUGCACAAACAAUCAGUACCAACCACAUUCAGCAGAACUAAAGUCAUAUUCUGUUCUGUAUUUAAUCCAGAUAGUUUCUGUGAUUAAUCUACAGUUACAGUAGAUACAGAAUCACCAGCACUGUAAUCUGUUGUACCCGUACUGCUCUGUAAUUAAUCUACAGUUACAUUAGAUACAGAAUCACCAGCACUGUAAUCUGUUGUACCCCUACUGCUCUGUAAUUAAUCUACAGUUACAGUAGAUACAGAAUCACCAGCACUGUAAUCUGUUGUACUCAUACUGCUCUGUAAUUAAUCUACAAGCCAUAAUCCUGACCAAUAAAAUAAAUAAACUCUUAUAAAUAG